This is a non-coding RNA of Rhodocollybia butyracea, 100 nucleotides long. The record is from the annotation of a GenBank genome assembly. Lineage: Eukaryota; Fungi; Basidiomycota; Agaricomycetes; Agaricales; Omphalotaceae.
UCCCUGGUAGUAUAUCGGUUAGUACACGCGCCUGUCAUGGCUUAGUCAUAUUCAUGCUUCGACGUCGCGCGAAAGCUGGGUUCGACUCCCAGCCAGGGAG